CUCAGAUAGAUGUACUGCAGUUGAUUGUUGCAAGUGUGAUUUUAGUCAAAAAUAUGGGAAAAAAAAAAAAAAAAAAAAAGUAGAAACGUAGUUUAUUUUGCCUUUUCUUUUUGCCAGGUCAAAAUGUGAGGACAUACACUAAAAAGAGAAUGCUGUUUGAAGAAUGCUCUUGAGCACAGCUGGAUUGUCCAGAGCAAAAGUAACACUGAUGCAGUGACACUUCCUAAUUCAGUGCUGUAGAAAUGGGAAAUCCCUGCCCCUGAAAAUGUGACUAAGCAGGGCUCUCCCACAUACUUUCAUGAUUCUUUCUGCCUCCCCAAGCUCACAUUCUGAGCACCCUGCAGUCUGAGCUGGAUGCAUGUUGGUCUGCACUCCCAAAAUAUCCCAUCUGCUUUGAGGCUUUUAAAUUCUCUUAUUGAAAGAAAAAUGCACUCUGAAAGCACGGAAAGAGACUGAAACACAACAGGUUCCCUCAGGGCUUCACUGUGCCACUAUUCAACAGUGGAAUGUCCAUCACCACAGCAGUGCAGAGCAAGUGAGAUCUUCUCACUCCUGGAGUAUGAUUUGGUCUCCCUUUGUAUCAAUGACCACAGAAAAGAAUGGAAAUUAUUUGAUGGCUCCUUCUCCACUAUUCAAUGCUGGUUUGGAUGUGAAAAGCACAAUCUAGCCAUUUCUAAAGAAAUACCAAAACAUUGAGAGAUGACUGUAUAGAACAAUAGCAAAUUUCUUUGACUCAGGGUUGCCAUAUCCAGAUAGUUCAUCACUAGUCAUACAACAUUUUAUUUAUUUAAAGCUUCCAUUCCUUGCUUAUAGAUCUCAGCUUUCAAUGAAACAGCCUACAGUUUAUUUAUAUGCCUCCUGCUUGCAAGACAGAACAGAAACCUUAGAAGAAGAAAGCAAUGGAAGUGAGAAAGCACACACAAUAAAAGCAAUCAUGAUUCUACUGCCAGCUGAUGAGGUGGAGAAAUUUGCAAGACUCAGUACCAGACAGCAGCAUCCAGCUUGGGAACCAAGACAAAGCUGCAUCCCAAAUGAGAGUGACGGCCAGUCCCAAGGUCUUGUUAAGAAACCUCUGGGAAGGACACUGAAAACCUGCUAAGUGUCAGACACAGUGCCAUGGGAACAUCUCUCCUAAGGCCUUCCCAGACCUGUCAUUUCUUUCCCUUCCACAGUCAGUUACAGGCUCUUAGGUUUUUUUUUCCUCCUUUGAUAUUCGAAGACAUUUUAUCUUAGGACGUGAAGAAGAAUGUAUGUUAAUAGUGAAUUGAAAAGUCUGCUUUCUACAUUGCAUACAAUCAGAUAUUUCUUAAUUAACCUUCAGAAAAGGACUACGACGCGUUCCCACCACAUCAUUUAUCUAAUGAGUAAAUAAUAAAAGAACUGCUUGUCUUUUUGAAAUUUCA
This 1403-nucleotide long non-coding RNA is filed under the name Coturnix japonica (Japanese quail). Its description in RNAcentral is "lncRNA (ENSCJPG00005014351.1)". The record is from RNAcentral. Lineage: Eukaryota; Metazoa; Chordata; Aves; Galliformes; Phasianidae.